This 497-nucleotide ribosomal RNA is filed under the name uncultured bacterium. RNAcentral describes it as "partial 16S ribosomal RNA". It matches the Rfam family "Bacterial small subunit ribosomal RNA", at positions 28 to 507 of the family's 1533-position model. The record is from RNAcentral.
GAUGAACGCUGGCGGCGUGCCUAAUACAUGCAAGUCGAGCGAACAGAUGAGGAUCUUGCUCCUCUGACGUUAGCGGCGGACGGGUGAUUAACACGUGGAUAACCUACCUAUAAGACUGGGAUACCUUCGGGAACCCUGAUCUAACACCGGAUAAUAUAUUGAACCUCAUGGUUCAUUAGUGAAAGACGGUUCUGCUGUCACUUAUAGAUGGUACCGGGCCGCAUUAGCUAGUUGGUAAGGUAACGGCUUACCAAGGCGACGAUGCGUAGCUGACCUGAGAGGGUGAUCAGCCACACUGGAACUGAGACACGGUCCAGACUCCUACGGGAGGCAGCAGUGGGGAAUAUUCGACAAUGGGCGAAAGCCUGACGGAGCAACGCCGCGUGAGUGAUGAAGGUCUUCGGAUCGUAAAGCUCUGUUAUUAGGGAAGAACAAAUGUGUAAGUAACUAUGCCCGUCUUGACGGUACCUAAACAGAAAGCCACGGCUAACCACGUG